This is a non-coding RNA of Hippopotamus amphibius kiboko, 387 nucleotides long. NCBI's taxonomy places the organism in Eukaryota, Metazoa, Chordata, Mammalia, Artiodactyla, Hippopotamidae. The record is from the annotation of a RefSeq genome assembly.
AUGUCCUGGACUCACCAAUUCUGCAUUGAUGUUGCAGGAGGAGCUGGAGCCCAGUCAGUGACCCAGCCUGAUAGCCACAUCACUGUCUCUGAAGGAGCCCAUCUGGAUCUGAGGUGCAACUAUUCCUAUGGUGGAGCUCUUUAUCUCUUCUGGUACAUCCAAUACCCCAGCCAAGGCCUCCAGUUUCUACUGAAGUAUGUAUCAGGACCCACCCAGGUUAAAGGUAUCAAAGGCUUCGAGGCUGAAUUUAGGAAGAAUGAAAGCUCCUUCCACCUGAGGAAAUACUCAGCCCAUUGGAGAGACUCUGCCAAGUACUUCUGUGCUCUGAGUGACACAGUGUGUAAGUCUGCAGAGGGAGCUGAACACAAACCUUCUGAGACAUUGUAG